This is a non-coding RNA of Podarcis lilfordi (Lilford's wall lizard), 13772 nucleotides long. NCBI's taxonomy places the organism in Eukaryota, Metazoa, Chordata, Lepidosauria, Squamata, Lacertidae. The record is from the annotation of a GenBank genome assembly.
ACCACUUACAGCCACAAACAUAACAUUCCCGAAUGGCACACUCUUCGGAUAACUCAGCUGGUAGAGUGUUAGGGCUGGAGUCAGGCCUAGGUCAUCAGCAAAGCGAUAACUCACUCGAGGCCAAUGAAGUUCACUCACUGUGAAUUUAAGGAGACAACCACAACUCAAGGCUAGUAGUCUCAAAUGGGUCUUGCCCCAAUGAAGCAGCUGUGAGGAUUGAAGGUCCCGCCCUGUGCUCUGCCUGUUUUAUUUCUCUGCAAGUUCUAGGAGACCAGCGGGGAGGGGAGCUGGUCACAGCAGGAGGGGGAGACUCCCUGCCUCCGCUCUGCCUCUUGGCCGCCCUCCCCUCCAGCCUCUGCUUCAGCCUCAGAGUCUGAACUGCUCUCUGCCACAGCCUCUUCCUGUUCCCUAAACCCUGUCACCUCUUCUACCGGCACUUCCUCCUCCCACUCUGCUCCCUCUUCCCCUUUUAGCCACUCACUACUGUGCCGUCCCACGACCAAUCCCUUGAUUCAGAGCCUUCUUCCCUUGGGAGUUCCCCAGGGGGUUCCUGGGCUGGUGUCUCCCACCUCUCCUCUGCAUCCAGCCAGUCCAUGACAAUCUCAGGGUUGUGGGUUCAAGCCCACCAACAUAAGGAGCUGGAUCAGUCCAAGGGCCAAUCUAGUCCAGCAACCUGUGGCCAUCUAGAUGCCCCAAGGAGAACCCUGCAAGCAGGACCUGAGUGCCAUAGCACCCUGCCCACUUACGAUCCCAGCCACUGGCCUUCAGAGACAUAUUGCCUCUGACAGUGGUGGCAAAGCACAGCCAUUGCAGCCAGCAGCCGUUGAUAGUUUCAUCCUCCAUGAAAUGCCAAUUGGUGAAGGGGUGAACUUUGGCAGACUCAAUGAACAGUUCACAUACAUCACUGGACCUUUAGACCAACCACAUCUGGAGAACGUGAGAAUAGUCUGCAGGGAGGAUCAGGCCAUAGCCUGUCUAGUCCAGCAUCCUGUUUUCACAGUGGUCAACUGAAUGCCUGUGGGAAAACCUGCAAGCAGGACCCCAGCACAACAGCAUCUCUCCCCUCCUGCGGUUUCCAGCAACUGGUAUUCAGAAGCAUUGCUGCCUCUGACCGUGGAGGCAGAGCAUAGCGAUUGCAAGUAGUGACCCUCAGAAGCCUUCUUCCCUAAAAAAAUUGUCCAACCCUCUUCAAAACCAUCCAAGUUGGAUGCUUCCUGCAGCAGCGGGUUCCACAUUUUAACCAUGCAAAAUAACUGCAUUAAGAGGUUGUUGUUUAGUCGUCUUAGUCAUCUUCGACUCUCUGUGACCCCAUGAACCAGAGCAUGCCUUGGAAACUCUCACUUUCUUCUCAAAGCUUCUCCUUUUUUGUGUCCAUGGAGCUUUCUUGGCAAAAUACUGGAGUGGUUUGCCAGUUUCCUUCUCCAGGUGGAUCACAUUUAGUCUAAACUCUCGGCUAUGACCUGUCCGUCUUGGGUGGCCCUGCUCAUAGCUUCUCUGAGUUAUUCAAGUCCCUUCGCCACGACAAGGCAGUGAUCCAUAAAGGGGUAUUAAGAGGUACCUAGCCAAUAUUUUGGAUAUUUUAUCUUAAUCUCAAUGUGUAUAUUUUUAUAUGUUCCCUGCACAAUAGAAAAGUUUUGCAAUCUUCACAAUGGGGGGGUACCUAUACACUAUGUAUCAUCUGUCUGUCUGUCUGUCUGUCUGUCUGUCUGUCUUUCUAUCUAUCUAUCUAUCUAUCUAUCUGUCUGUCUGUCUGUCUAUCUAUCCUGUCUAGUAAUGGGCACCUUCAUCUCCAGGAAAGCCCCCAUCAAGCUUUGCUUGCUGUCCUCUGCCCCAGUCCAUGUCUGCCCAUAUCUCAUCAUGUUCCCCUUGCCUGCCCCUAUGUCCUUUUAUAUAUAAAAAAGAUGUCUCCCAAACUUAGAGCACUGAGCAGCAAAAUGAGAAAUUCUUGCUCAGAAGCCCAGAAUUGCCUCUCCCCUGUGUUUGCUCUCCAGCAGAUCCCGUUGCAUAUCAUGUCUUAAUUACCACCUUCCUUCCAUGAUCCCUGGAAUACUUAAUGUGCCCUGUGCAGGGGUUGGUGUUACCUCAAAAGUGGCUAACAAAUGUAUCUGCAUGCCCCACUUAAUCGGGCUAAGGAUGCUAUCAUUAUUCAGGCGAGAACCUCAGACAUGAAUAUUCAUGCGCUGCUUGCUAGUCCAACCGGUAAAUGGAGCCUCCAUCCUCUGAGCCUCUCCCUUGACUGGCCAAGAUGAAUCGCAAGGCCUCUUGGGGCCACUGGGUACAUUUCCUCCAAAUGAGAAAACCAGCAAGCUAAUGUCUUGUGUUUUCCCUCGGAUACAUUCCCUACAGCACACUCUGUCACACAGAACCUCAACUCCUUUUCCCACUGCACCCUCCAGAAUGCCUGCAAAUUUGAUGUCAGGAGUCACAGAAUCAUAGAGUUGGAAGAGUCAUUUAGUCCAACCCCCUGCAAUGGAGGAAUCACAACAAAAGAAUCUCUGACAGAUAUGCCGCCCCUCCAGAUUCUGUUUAAAAGCCUCCAAGGAAGGAGAGUCCAACACCUUCCGAGGAAGUCCAUUCCAUUGUCAAAGAGCUCUUCCUGCCAGAAAGCUAUGUCACGGCUAAAAAUUGGCCGCUGUUUCUUUAAUGCUAAAAGAACUAAGUCAGCAUGAGUCAGCGGCCUACAAUGACUCAUGCAACCUUUCACCAAAUUGUACCUGUAUAUAUAGAGUGGUCAGUUGUUAGUGUUGGGUGUGGGUUGGUUGGUUGGUAGAAAGCUGGUUGCGUUUGGUGUGUGUAAAAGCUGUCAGUUGUGGUUGGAGAAGAAGACCUUUUAAGAAUAAAAGCAGCAUUCCGCAAAGUACUCUUUCUUAAGGACUCUUUGCGCCAACUAGGGUCUGAGGAGGGGGCAAAGGAGUAAAAAGGAGGUCAGAACCUUUUUCUUUUUCAAACACUGACAAGCUAUUCCUAAUGUUGAGCUGGGAUCUCCUUUCUUGCAACUUGAAGCCAUUGGUUCGGGUCCUACCCUCCAGAGCAGGAGAAAACCAGCUUGCUCCAUCUUCCUCAUGACAACCCUUCAGAUCAUAUCACCUCUCAGUCUUCUCUUCUCCAGGCUAAACAUGCUCAGUUCCUGCAACUGUUCCUCAUAUGGUUUGGAUUCCAGUCCCUUGAUCACCCCUGCAUGCGUUCCAGCUUGUCAAUGUCCCCUCAAACUAUGGUGCCCAGAGCUGGAUCAGGCCAAUGGCCCAUCUAGUUCCGCACCCUGUUCUCACAGCAGCUGACUAGACACCUCUAUGGGAAGCCUGAAAGUUAGACUUGAGCAUUCAGGAAUUCAGGAUAAAGGGGGUGGGCAGCAGCCUUGCCUCCUUAUAAUAAUAAUAAAAAGAAGAAUACCGGUAAUAAUUUAUUAUUUGUACCCCGCCCAUCUGGCUGCGUCUCCCCAGCCACUCUGGGCGGCUUCCAACAAAGAUUAAAAAUUCCCCUGUUGAAAUUCUACACUGAUGGACAGCAGCUGUCCAGGAUUUCAGACCUUGUCUCCCCCAGUCCUACCUGGAGAUGCCACUAGGGAUUGAACCCGGCUCCUUCUGCAUUACAAGCAGGUGCUCUUCCAUUGAGCCACAACAAUCCACUAUACUCAGUCAAGCUGUUGGUCCUUCGAGCUCAGUAUUUUCUCCUCUGACCGGCAGUUCCUCUCCAGGAUUUCAGAUGGGGUCUCUCCCAGUCCUGGAGACGCCACUGGGAUUGAACCUGGGCCCUUCUGCAUGCCAAGCAGGUGCUCUACCACUGAACUCUUCCCCUGAUGUGGUAGUACUAUGGAGGAAAGGGCCUCUCACGCUUGGGCUAUUGUGCAGAAUACCUUCUGUGUUUCCAACAUCCCCACUUAGCUUACAAAGUUUAAAGAAAAGCAGCGUGAUAUUUUAGUGGGCAAAAUAAUAAUAAAAUAAAAUGGGGGUGGGGAUGAGAAGCUGUCAAUUCUCCCCCCGCCCCCACUCCCACCACCUCCUCUGCCUUCUCUCUCAUCUCUUUCAAUGCAGCCUCACUUUCAGUUCAAUGAAACUGGAGAGCCUGGCAAUAACACAAAGGCUUCUCACAAUGCUCCAUUUCUCUUUCUUCUCUGGCAUUUGUGCUGAAAUAUCUGCUAUAGUAACUGUCCUCUCUCUCAUGCAUGCCUAUCUCUCUCCUUAGAAUUCAAUCUCAUUAAAGAGGCGUUCUUUGAAGGAAGUGCAUCUGCAUUACACAGAGACUCCUUUGCCAGGCUCGCUUCUUUUCUAUGACAUUUCCAAUUACACUCUCUGGGCAGGAUUCGGCAGGGACCCAGAGCCCAGAAUCCGGGUCUUUGCUGAGCAACUGCUAAGGAGCAGAGGGGAGGGUGCAGUUUCAAGCAGAGAUGCUGCCAAGGGGAAGGAGUGGUCGCCAUGGGCAUAGCCAGGGGGAGCAGGGGAGGUUCUGCGCCCCCAGGAGAAGCCUGCCUCCCAUAAUGUCCCCUUCUGGGGGGUAUAGUUAGCUAUGAUUUCCCAAAAUAAGCUCAACAACUUUUGCUGUUCCUUGGCCCUUUACCUCCCACCUCGCCCUGUGCUUCUAGUUAAAAAAAAAAAAAACUAUACAUAUUCCCCUGUUUGUUUUAGUGUUAAAAAUCAUAACCUGCUUUUCAACCCAGCUUCUCAAGGCAAAUCUACUUAUAUUAUUAUUUGAGAGUCGGUGUGGUAUAGUGGAUAGGGAUGUUGGUGGCGCUGUGGUCUAAACCACAGAGCCUAGGGCUUGCCGAUCAGAAGGUUGGCAGUUCAAAUCCCCGUGACGAGGUGAGCUCCCGUUGUUCAGUCCCAGCUCCUGCCCACCUAGCAGUUCGAAAGCACAUCAAAGUGCAAGUAGAUAAAUAAGUACCGCUCCAGUGGGAAAGUAAACGGCAUUUCCGUGUGCUGCUCUGGUUCGCCAGAAGCGGCUUAGUCAUGUUGGCCACAUGACCCAGAAGCUGUCUGUGGACAAACGCCGGCUCCCUCCGCCUAUAGCGUGAGAUGAGCGCUGUAACCCCAGAGUCGUCCACAACUGGACCUAAUGGUCAGGGGUACCUUUACCUUUACCUUUAUGGUAUAGUGGUUAUAGUGGUUAAUGAAAAGGCAUUUCCAUGCCAGCCCACAAGUUAGUAGGUAAGACUGAAUCUUGUUUAAGUACUUUUUUCUGUUAAUACCUUGGUGCUUUUUUAUUUUAGUUUGGAGGGAUUUUUAAGUGCGAUCAAAUCUACUCUUUUGUCAAUUGUGUACUAGCAGGAGAAUAACUCAGAACAAAUGGUCAAUAUAUGCAGGCCUAUGGAAGCUGUCCUAAUAAUUCCAGAGCAGUGCUGUGGAAAUGGAAUUGAUGUGGAGUUCAGCUUUCAGGGAAACUCAUAUUUCAUUUUGUAUUUAAAAAGAAUCAAGUUUCCAGUCCUUAAGGUUGCAGAGAUCUGCAUGGAAAAGUGCAGGCAGAGAUGAUGGAAUUACAUUUCCAUUAGUUGGGGAGGGGGCUUUGCUGUUCUUGACCUCCUGUGCAUAGCAAAACCUGCCUAAAUUAUGCAGAAUAACAAAGACAUUGGACUACGCAGGUUUAUUUAUCAUGCAUUUCUCAGGGGUAUUUAUAUGAUGCCUCCGAAUAACUACAUUCUCUAAGCAUCUUAUAUUAAAAUACAUCCAUGUAAAAGAAAAAAAGAGGUUCAUAAUUUCCAUUUGUGUUUUUGUGUGUGUGUUUUGAAUAGACUCAGUCCUCGGUAGGGGAUUGUGUGCCCCUCGGACAGAACCAUAACUCCUACAGAGAGCUUUUUGGAGAUAUGAAGAAUAAAACACUUUUCAUUGCAAAUUGGGGCAGAUUAGUAAAAUAAUGAGGACAGCAAUAACAAUGGGCCCUGCUGAGCCUGACAAACAUCUCUAAAUAAACCCGCUUAGCAAAAGUUCCUUUUCCUAAAUCUGCAAAGGUCAUAAAAUUGGCCUCUUCUUCUCUCUCAGCUUCGAGGGGGGUGGGAGACGAGGCUGCCGAAAAGCUCGGGGCGAGAUUGGUUUUCACUGAUCUCGAACGAAAACAAAUGAGGGAAGAAAUAAUAUGCAAAUCGACUCCAUGUCUCAGUGGGACGUAGAGCUGUCAAUAUUUGCCUCUCAGCUCAAUAAAUCCAGAGGAUCCUUGGAAGACGUGUCAAUAAAUAUCUGCUUCUUGUUACAGAUGAGCGAUAUGGGGAACUGGAGAACUUAAAGGAAUACAGUGAGCAGCAGGAUACUGAUCGCUCUGCCUAUUGAGAGCAUCAGAAGAGGCAGCAGGAUCAGGCCAGUGGCCCAUCUCCCGUUCUCACAGUGGCCACCCAGAUGCCCCAAUAAGAAGCUCGCAAGCACAAGAGCACUUCUGGUAGCCAUCACUCCCUCCUGUGGAAGUGAGUUCCACAGUUUAACAAUGUAUGGCAUGAAAGAGUUUUGUCUGUCCUGAAUCUUCCAGCUUCAUUCAACUUCAUUGGGUGCCCAUUGGAUUCUAGGGUUUUGAGAGAGGGAGAAAACCUUUUUUCUCUACCUUCUAUCCUUCUAUCGUAGAAUCAUAAAACUGUAGGGUUGGAAGGGGUCAUGAGGAUCAUUCCAGGAGUCAGCAAACUUUUUCAGCAGGAGGCCUAUCCACUGUCCUUCAGAACUUGUGGGGGCCUGGACUAUAUUUGGGGGGGACGGAAUGAAUGAAUUCCUAUGCCCCACAAAUAACCCAGAGAUGCAUUUUAAAUAAAAGGACACAUUCUCCACCCCCAUCGUUCUGCCCGGACACUGAGGUCCAGCUCUGAGGGCCUUCUGGAGGUUCCCUCACUGUGAGAAGCCAAGUUACACGGAACCAGGCAGAGGGCCUUCUCAGUAGUGGCACCUGCCCUGUGGAACGCCUUCCCACCAGAUGUCAAAGAGAAAAAUAACUACCAGACUUUUAGAAGACAUCUGAAGGCAGCCCUGUUUAGGGAAACUUUUAAUGUUUGAUGCAUUACUGUAUUUUAAUAUUUUGUUGGAAACUGCCCAGAGUGGCUGGGAAAGCCCAGCCAAAUGGGAGGGGUAUAAAUAAUAUAGUAGUAGUGGUGGUGCUAGUAGUAGUAGUAGUAGUACAACCCCCAGCCAAUGUAGGAAUCACAGCUGAAAGAUCCCUGACAGAGGGACAUCCAACCUCUGUUAAAAAACCUCUGACAAAGGGGAAUCCACCACCUUCCAAGGCAGUCUGUUUCACCACCGAACAGCUCUUACCACCGGAAAGUCCGUCAUAACGUUUAGUCAGAAUCUCCUUUCUUGCCAUUUGAAUCCAUUGGUUCGGGCCCUACCCUCUGGAGCAGCAGAAAUCAAGGAAGGUGAUGUGAGAUCAGGACCUUGGACAGGGGUCUAGGUGCGCGUUUCAGGACCACGGCCAGCGAUUUAAUGAGGCGGGGAGAACCACGUACGCCACCUUGAACUAAAACAAGUCGGGAUAUAAAUGCAAUCAGUAACUAAUAAUUAAUAAUGUCAAAACUUGGAGAGGAAGUUUGUGGGGAAAUUAGCAGUGUUUGCAGGUGGGGGGUUGGGGUGGGGUGUCUCAGAGCGGACAACAAUUAAUGAGGAGGGGAAGGGGAGAGAUUGGAAGGAAUGGCGUCCAGUCCUGUGUGUUCCGUGGCAGUGCAAAGGAGCCCACAGAGAAGCAAUGGUAGAGGAGAUUUACGCCCUGCACUCCAGGGUAUAAAUAACCCCUCGUCUGACACUGCCUAAUUGGGGCAUGAGAGGCAGUAUCUCUGCAGCUUCGAGACACGGACCCACACCUCCCGACCGGUGCCUUAUCGAGGUGGCAAUAUAUUCCAGAGAUGGAUAUCAGGCAUGUGGUGGGAAGCAAUGGAAAGCCUGUCUUUGGUGGCAGGUGGCCUUAGGAUGAAAAUGCAUGAGCAGCGUUUUAUCGCGCCAGCGAUGCCGUCCGGGCAAUCAUUUCCGCAGCGCCCUCCUAGCUGUGGUAAUGCUUCAUUCAUAUGGAAAUCCACUUGAAAGCCUCCUGAAUUUAAAUACCCGGCGGCAAGGUUGUGUGUGAACCACAGUUCUCCAGCAGCACAGAAAGCUCACAGCUGGGGAUUCAGCUUCAUGAGAAUCUUCCCCCUUUAAAAAAAAAAAUAGAGCAAGUUUCUAGUCCUUAAUGUUGUGAAGCUAUGUUUGAAAGUAUGCAAACGACGACUGGAGAGGGGAGAGGGUCCUCGGAAGCCGGUGGAGUUUUUGUAUAAAAUGCAAAAUGCAUGGGAGGAGUGCUUUCAGAAGCUUGCAUAGCGCCUUAUCUCUCCCCAUGGCCAGAACUGAACUCUCUCUUCUUUUUAAAGCACAGAAUUUAGAUUACCUUAGCACAGAAUUUAAGUCUCCUUUAGUGCACACGUUCACCAAUACUCAACUUCUCCACUUUUUCAAGUACUAGGUAGCAGAUGCUGAGGCCUUCUUCAGCCUGAGACAAUUGAGCACGCCCUAUCUGCAGCUGUUACAAAUUGCAUGCCAAAGGGGCCACAACGAUGAAGGCCCUGCUACGGUGGACCCAGCGAGCUCUUGGUACCACCAGGAGGUCCCCUUGUAGAGAUCAUAGUGGCUGGGCAGGAGGGCAAGUAGCCCUCAAAUGGUGGGUUAUGUAAACUAAAACACAAUCACAAAAUGUAGAAUAGCAAACUAUAAAUCAACAACCAGUGCUUUUUUUUUUGCCAGCUGGAGCAUGCUGGAGUGUAGGUCUGGCACCACUCAGAAGGAAACCAUUGUAAGCCAAUGCUCCCCCCCAACCCGAUUUUUGUCUUUAGAUCUAGCUCCUAGCUACAAUUGGUCAAGCUACAGGGCAGGGCCAAUUUGUAUUUCUUUUCUUUCACCCCAUCUCCUGUGUAGCGGCAGGGGGCUUUAAGCCUUCCAGCCAAGUCUCUACCAUGGCCUGCACAUGUGUUUGUGCCAGGACCCUUCCGAGCUGUCCUAGCCAUCUGCCUGAAUCCAAGAGAAUAAGGGAGGCAGUGGUGCAGUUAUUUGACCUGCACCAGAACUAAGAUUGACUCCCAAACCAGCUAGGGAGACAGCUUUUAGCACCUCUGCGGGCAGUGAACGUUGUCAAACCGGCAUCUGUUCAGGGCUGCCCCGAGUUGCCCAGCAAUUUACUGUAACAACUUCAUGGUGAGAUAUGGCACCUAUUUUGGGGGGAGGGGAGCACUGACCACAACACAUAAGAACUAAGAAGAGCCUGCUGGAUCCGCUCAAUGGUCCACCUAAUAAUAAUAAUAAUAAUAAUAAUAAUAAUAAAUUUUAUUUAUACCCCGCCCUCCCCGGCUAGAGCCGGGCUCAGGGUGGCUAACACCAAUAAAAGCAGCCGAUAAAUCAAGACCAUAAGGGGAGCGAAACAUAAGGGUCAGACUGAGUCCAAACCAAAGGCCAGGUGGAACAGCUCUCUGUCUUGCAGGCCCUGCGGAAAGAUGUCAAGUCCCGCAGGGCCCUAGUCUUUUGUCACAGAGCAUUCCACCAAGUCGGGGCCAGUACUGAAAAGGCCCUGGCCCUAGUUGAGACCAAUCUAACCACCUUGCAACCUGGGACCUCCAAAAUGUUGUCAUUUAUGGACCUAAGGUCCUCUGCGGGGCAUACCGAGAGAGGCGGUCCCAUAGGUACAUGGGUCCUAGUCCAGCAUCGCCUUCUUACAGUCACCAACCAGUUGCCUGUGGGAAACCCUCAAGAAGUUUCCUUCAUUCCCCUUUCCCAUGCUGUGAAACAGAAGAACAUGAGAGGGAAUUGUUGGACCUAGCUGAUCUACGAGGCCCGGGAUUUCUCUGUGCUUUAAGCAAGACAAGGAGCAGACAGAUCCCCCAUUAUCCCUUUCCUGUGAAAUAUGCCAAGCCACUUAGUAUUCAUGCUUGUACCCAAUUAUUUAUAACAGGGAUUCUUUAUUCGAAGUUUCAGGCUGGGAAAGGGGGGUGGGGAGUUCUAACCAGGUGGUUUUAACAAUGAUUUAAGGCUUGGGAGAGUUUGAUUAUUAAUGGAGGGAGGAGGAGGAGGGUCCAAGGAAGGGAAUUUGGAGUGGCGAAAUAAUGUGGCUGAGGAAGAGUCAGGAUGGUAGCACAGCUUUCUGCCACCUGAUGCCCUCCUGACGCUUUGGACUGCAACUCCCAUCAGCCCCAGCCAGCCCCAAAACUGAAAGCAGAACUAUGUAUAACUGGCCUAUUGCCACUAUCAGCAGUAAUCAUCAUGAACAAGUGGCCAAGUCUCGGCCUCCCUAAAUCUUCCAUAGCAUAGCUCCUUCCCCCUCUCCUCUCUUUAAAAGCACUUUUGAAUGCAGCUGGCAAAUGUCAUAGGGGAUUAGGGCAAAGUAGACAGAUGUGGGGGCUAUCAGCUCCCUAUAGCACCAAGAAAAGUCCUGGUGGAUCAGACUAGUGGCCCAUCUAGUCCUUCAUCCUGUUCUCAUGGUGGGCCAAUAGAUGACCUAAAGAGAAACCCACAGGCAGGAUUCAGGCUCCCCAGCAACUGGUAUUCGGAAGCCACUGUGGAGACAGACCAGAGCCAGAUGAUGCAAUGGCAGCCUCUUGACCCAGCUGCCUCCCCCUGCCCUAGUGGUGUUGGGUCACCCUCUUGACCUGGCAGUCUCCCCCUGCCCUGUGACCCCAGAGAUGUAGAGGGGUGGCCCUUCCCCCCUGCACAAUCGCACCGGACAGAGGAGAAGGGUGGUCUCUUGACUAGACAGCCUCCCCUUCCCCUUAGACUAGACGAGCAGCAUAAGGGUGAUCUCAACUUGCAUUAUAACCACCGUGUGGUUGAGGGGUGGAGGUGAAGCUGAAGCUGAGAAUGAAGAUAGACCUCUUGACUCAGCCACUGCUCCCCCAUUCCAGUGGUCGUAGGCAGUGGGGGGCAGCAGUUAAGAGGUCAUCCCACCACCACCACCACCUGUGCAUCCUCCUCCUCUUCUUCUUCCUCCUCCUCCUUUCUGCUGAGCACUCUGCUUUUUUUCAGGCUUUCCAAUUCAGCCGUCCGCAAGCUGUAAUCCCAACCCAUAAAACUGAGACAUGGUUGCGCAUAUUGAGGUCAGCCAUUGGGUCUCUGAACCGUGGCUCUUGCUCCUGAAGUUUUGACCAGGCGGAGCUGUAAAGCUCUCCUAACUAAUGGGAUUGAGUUGUUUAUGGCCCCAUCAACCUUUUUUUCUGAAAGGAUCAGGUUGAGUUUUAUCAUUAUCAUUUCCUGUAACUGGGGGUGAUGUCGAGCGUUCAAGGCUCACCUCUACCCCUCUCCCACCUGCACCCAGUCAUCCUCUCUUUUUCAUAGUGUGUCUUCCCUUUGAAAAAAACGAAGCCCCCCCUAAAUGAAGGAGGCAGAGAUCUAGAGAUAGGAGAGAUGCAGCAAAGGGGGGGGUGAUGAGAUGGAGAGAAAAGCAGCUAGAAUUUUUCCCUUAUCUCAACCUGUUCAUCCCUCCCGUGUAAUUGUUUUGCUGAUGUUUUCCUUGUAGCAAAUAAUACACCACGCUUCAAAAGUUACAUCCAGGUAAAAAGUAUAAAGCAGAACUACUGACGAGUCUUGCUGAUGGAUCAGUCCAGCAUCCUGCCCCAUAGUGACCAGCCACAUGUUCCAAUGGGAGCAGAACUUGAGCACAACAGCAAUUAGAUGAGAACUAAACAGAAGCCCAGCUGCAUUUUGGGCCAAGGGAAGUUUCUGAGUCAUUUGAGGGCAGCUCCAUGUGGAGUCUAUCCCUAGGUUACCUGAAAGCCUUGCUCGAUCUCAGCACUCUGCUUCUCUCUCCCUCUCUAUCUGCUUUUAAAGAGCCAAGGCCACAUAAAUUCAAAGGCAUGAUAUAAUUGAAGAUGAAUCCAUCAGGCAGCACACAACCUUUCACAUUAGACAUAUUGAGACUGAAGCUGGAGGAAAAUUGCUUUUUUCCUUCUUGACUUUCUAUUUGCUUAAGCCCCCAAUAUUUACUGGUUGCGAGCGGAAUCUGUUUUUCAUUUCCAGCGUGGAGGUGAGGGAGAAUCCCAGUGCCACUCAUCUCGGCACCAAAAUUAAAUCUGUCGAGCACUGUCAGGGGCCCGGUGUAUUAAUGAUACACUUGUAAUCCGUUUCAUUCUGGAGGGUGAGGAGCAGAGCUGCGUCUGCUGACGGGGGACUCAGGCACUUGACCAUUGUUCGCACAUUAUAAUAGGAGGCGAAGAACACUUCCCCAAUCCCUGGAAAUUGCAGCUUCUUCUCCAUCAUUUACUCCCUUCGUGGCAACGCCCCAGGGCCACGGACUGCUGCCGGAGCCUCAAUUAGCCAGUGGAUGGAGAAUCUGAGGUCAACGGAUCAGCUGCUUCCUCCUCCUAUUAAUAAGUCGGGAAAUGUGCAACACAGAGAGAAAAGAUAGUUUCUGUCUCCAUCGGAUGCACUGCCAGCUGCAGAGAAGGGAUUGCAGGAUUAUCGGGCUGGGUGGGACCCCAGAGGACAUCUAUAGCAACCCCCGGCUCACUGCGGAUUCUGCCAUGUAGGGUGCAUUGACAGAACAGGUGGCAAAGUAGCUAUUCAGCCUCUGCUUAGAUACCACCAGGGAAGAAGAGGCCGUUGCCUGCUGAGGUGGACUGCUCCACUGUCAGAAAAGCUCUAACUGCUAGGAAGCUUCUCCUGCCAUCAAACGGAAAUCUCCUUCCCCACAAUGUCCACCCAGGGUUCUAGCCCUGUGUGUGCACAGCAGCAGAGAAAAAGCCUGCCCUAUCUUCGGCAUGACGAGCACCAUAUCUACAAUUUUUCUUGUAGGGGGCAGAAGUCUACACUACCACCAUGCUUUCCCAGAUUGUGAACACUGAUCAAUGAAUCAGGGGGAUAUGGUUGUUAGUGUACUUUCCCCAGACUAAACACAAUUCCCUUCAUUGGAGAAGACCAAGGCAGAAAUAUGAGUUGAGAAGUUCUACCUUCUCUCCAUCUCCCCUCUUCCUUGGUCUUCUUGCUUCUGUGGACAAAAUAACCCCCUUUUCUGGUUUUUUAUCAUUGUUGUUGUUGUUGCUGCUGCUGCCCAUCUGACUGUGUGGCUUCCAACACAUUAAAACACAGGAAGGCAUCAAGCAUUAAAACUUCCCUAAGCAGGACUGCCUUCAGAUGUUUUCUAAAAGUCAGAGAGUUGUUUAUGUCCUUGACAUCUGAUGGCGGGCGCCACCACCGAGAAGGCCCUCUGCCUGGUUCCCUGUAACGUCACUUCUCACAGGGAGGGAACCGCCAGAAGGCCCUUGGAGCUGGACCUCAGUGUCACUCUCAGGGUCUGGUCUGAAGGAAUAUAAUCCACCACUUGCUGAAUUUUAUAUGUUUGUUUAUUGCAUUUAUAUCCCAACUUUUUAAGUCAGCCUGUUAAAUCAACCUCCCAGAAAGCCUGAUUCUCUGUUUCCUAUUUUGCUAACUUUUAAAUCUGUUUCCUGGGAGAGGAGCACCUGGGCCAAUGAACAGCAUCCAGUCCAGAGAAGGAAACCUCUGCGCUCUGCAGCCUGCCUUGAAAGCCACACCGCUGACAAGCCACCCUUGAUCCUAACUGCUUUCAACAAUGCUAUUACUUUGCAAAAAAAAACCAACACCUUCCCUGCAACUCCCCAUUAGGCUCAGCAGUGACACCACAAACCUUCCAGCACUUGGAUGGUGUCCAUUGAGCGACGCUGCCUGUUCAGGGAUGCCGCCUCCAAUUAUAGGAAGGAGGCGGGGAAAACCAUUUGGCACCCCAUUCUUGCAACGCAGUUUUGUCUAUUCCGCUUACCCGGGGCCUCAGUUCCUGGGCAUUAACAGCGAAUAAAAAAGUUUAGCUCACUGAUUUAUCGCCUCUCGCGGAAAGUGAGUUUAUCACCUGCC